RNAcentral lists this ribosomal RNA (229 nucleotides) under uncultured bacterium. RNAcentral describes it as "partial 16S ribosomal RNA". It matches the Rfam family "Bacterial small subunit ribosomal RNA", at positions 524 to 750 of the family's 1533-position model. The record is from RNAcentral.
UACGUAGGGGGCAAGCGUUGUCCGGAUUUAUUGGGCGUAAAGAGCGUGUAGGCGGCCAUACAGGUCAGCUGUGAAAACUCGAGGCUCAACCUCGAGACGUCGGUUGAAACCGUAUGGCUAGAGUCCGGAAGAGGAGAGUGGAAUUCCCGGUGUAGCGGUGAAAUGCGCAGAUAUCGGGAAGAACACCCGUGGCGAAGGCGGCUCUCUGGGACGGUACUGGACGCGUGAG